Molecule: ribosomal RNA, 253 nt
Filed under: uncultured bacterium
Lineage: Bacteria
Description: partial 16S ribosomal RNA
Rfam family: Bacterial small subunit ribosomal RNA
Source: RNAcentral
UACGAAGGGGGCUAGCGUUGUUCGGAAUUACUGGGCGUAAAGCGCGCGCAGGUGGUCUUGCAAGUCAGGGGUGAAAGCCCAGAGCUCAACUCUGGAACUGCCUUUGAGACUGUGAGACUUGGGUACGGGAGAGGUGAGUGGAAUUCCGAGUGUAGAGGUGAAAUUCGUAGAUAUUCGGAAGAACACCAGUGGCGAAGGCGGCUCACUGGCCCGUUACCGACACUCAGGCGCGAUAGCGUGGGGAGCAAACAGG